CUGUUCAUUCAAAGUACUGCUAUUCGGAACUGAGAACCACAUUUAGACGAUUACUAUGUUUCAUCGUACUUAAUCAAACCAACAGUGGUGGGAAAUCAACCGUUUUUGUGUUAGAGUCCUCUUCAAAUGGGUGAGAGUCCCUGUACGUGUUUUGUCUUUGUCAAGGAGAGGUUAGAGUCCUCUUCAAAAGGGUGAGAGUCCUAACACGUGGCUUGUCUUUGUCAAGGAGAGGUUAGAGUCCUCUUCAAAAGGGGUGAGAGUCCCUGUAGGCCUACGUGUUUUGUGUUUAAAAAAGGAGAGGUUAAAAUACACUCCAAGGGUUAGAGUCCCUGAACUUGUUUUGUGUUCAUAAAAAAGGAGAGGGUAAAAUCCACUCCAAGGGUUAGAGUCCCUGAACUUGUUUUGUGUUGAAUAAAAAUAGAGAGGAGUGUGGUGUGUUUAUU
Molecule: long non-coding RNA, 443 nt
Organism: Osmerus eperlanus (European smelt)
Lineage: Eukaryota; Metazoa; Chordata; Actinopteri; Osmeriformes; Osmeridae
Exons: 3
Source: RefSeq, a predicted model, not a curated record